RNAcentral lists this long non-coding RNA (921 nucleotides) under Gallus gallus (chicken). The record is from RNAcentral. Lineage: Eukaryota; Metazoa; Chordata; Aves; Galliformes; Phasianidae.
CGGAUGGAUUCGCAUGACAGACCUUAUAAAUCAGUUCAACAAUAACCAACUGCAGAAUGUCACCGAAUGUCUGGACUUGGUCAAUGCAGGUACUCAAAUAAUCCAACGCUCGAUCCUGAUCUGCGUGAAUUAACAUCAUAAAUGCAUUUCUUUUGCAGCUUGCAUCCUUCUCAUUCACCAGGAAAUCAUGGAUCAAUUCGGGAGCAUCGGGUAUAAGAUGUUCAAAAUUUCUAUAGAUGGUGUAAAUUGCAAGGACUGCAUUUCUGCGCACAUAGCUGUGACGAUGCUCUAGGCACGCACGGAUGGCUGGCAUCAGAGGCUCCAGCAGUUCUGCUUCUUUCAGCUUACAAAGAAAACGAAGAGUAGAGCCUCGGAUAAACUCAUUUGGAUGCUGAAGAUCCUUUCUGUAUGCAUCACAGACAAGGAUCAUUUCCUGCAGAAGCCUGCCAUCAGGAGUGGUCUUUGGCACUAUCUCCCAGAAGACAAGCAGCAGCUUUUUGAUGGUAUGGUCUUGGAGAGGCAGCACAAAACGUAUAAUGGUCAUAAGAAGCCCAGGCAGUUUUUCACCAUUCAGAAUCAUAAUAAUCACUUUCUUCAAGGCCUCUGUCUUCAACUUGACAUCUCCUUUUUCUAGGUCAUUUUUUAAGCUGAUUUCAGAAGGUGGUUCUGAAUCCAUGGGGACGUUGAUUAGCGUGUAGCACACGUUCUCAGCAGCAGUCAUGGUUCCUGGUUACAAAUGCUUUCUCAGGAGAAGAGUUAUUUUGACACAAGUAUCAGACAACCGUGAGGCGGCGGUGCUGCGAGCAGCGGCCCGCUCGGGUCGGACGCGGCGAGUCGAGGCCGGGCCCGCUGAGCUCAGCCUGCGGCGCUUCGCUCCCGCUCCGGCGAUGGCUGACGUGGAGCCGCUCCCUCCCGGACUCC